This 468-nucleotide ribosomal RNA is filed under the name uncultured bacterium. RNAcentral describes it as "partial 16S ribosomal RNA". It matches the Rfam family "Bacterial small subunit ribosomal RNA", at positions 28 to 507 of the family's 1533-position model. The record is from RNAcentral.
GACGAACGCUGGCGGCGUGCUUAACACAUGCAAGUCGAACGGAAAGGCCCUGCUUUUGUGGGGUGCUCGAGUGGCGAACGGGUGAGUAACACGUGAGUAACCUGCCCUUGACUUUGGGAUAACUUCAGGAAACUGGGGCUAAUACCUGAUAGGAGCUCCUGCUGCAUGGUGGGGGUUGGAAAGUUUCGGCGGUUGGGGAUGGACUCGCGGCUUAUCAGCUUGUUGGUGGGGUAGUGGCUUACCAAGGCUUUGACGGGUAGCCGGCCUGAGAGGGUGACCGGCCACAUUGGGACUGAGAGACGGCCCAGACUCCUACGGGAGGCAGCAGUGGGGAAUAUUGCACAAUGGGCGGAAGCCUGAUGCAGCAACGCCGCGUGCGGGAUGACGGCCUUCGGGUUGUAAACCGCUUUCGCCUGUGACGAAGCGUGAGUGACGGUAAUGGGUAAAGAAGCACCGGCUAACUACGUG